Chenopodium quinoa (quinoa) is the source of this 1548-nucleotide long non-coding RNA. RefSeq lists it as uncharacterized. NCBI's taxonomy places the organism in Eukaryota, Viridiplantae, Streptophyta, Magnoliopsida, Caryophyllales, Amaranthaceae. The record is from RefSeq and is a predicted model, not a curated record. The transcript is spliced from 3 exons.
AUUAUAAACCGGUGCCCUAAAAUACAAAUGGCAUCGGUUAACCGGUGCCCCUUGAUUUUUUUUUUUAUUCUAAUACAAAGAGCAUUGGUUAACCGGUGCUUAUGUUUACUUUUAUUUUCCUAUAAGGCGUCCUCUCUCUCCUCACCCCACUCUUGCAUCCUCUCUCUCUACUCAAACCCUCCUUUCUCUCUCUUCAAUCUCUUGCCUCCUCGUGCUCUUUGUCAUUCUUUACUCCACCGCCACCCCAAUCACCGCCACCCCACUAUCUCUUUCAUUCUUCUCUCUACCUCUUUCAUUUCCAGAUCUUUCUUUCUCUAUCUUCCUUCGUAGUAGUGGGGAAUUGAGGGUGACGGCGGUGGUGAAUGUUGUCGCGACCAUCGUAAUUGGCGGUGGUUGUGUCUUCCCUUUGCAGCUGUAGUGGAUUUCUUCACGAAGAUUGAGAAAAACAGAACUUGUUGAACAAAUCAUAAAAAGAAGAAAAUAUGACUUCACAUUUUUGGCAGCGCGGUAGUGACAGUGAUAGUGAUAGUGACUCCGAGGAUGAGAUAAAUAGUGGUUUUGAUGGUGUUAAGGUUAUAAAAAAUCCAAGCAUAUAUCUAGAGCCCACUCUUAGAGAUGACACAAAGUCAACUCCUUGCGACAAUGAUGAGGCAGAUGAUGAAAAGCGAGUUCUCAUUCCUGCUAAGAAUAAGCGUUUCUAGGAGAUGUCUGCUACUGUUGAGCAAAUAAACACUCCUCCUCGAUUUGCCUGUUUCUCUCUCCUCUUAUCUUACAUUUCUAUCGAUCGACAUAUUUUUGUUUGAUAAUUUAGGGUUUUAGUUACAUAUAGAUCUUGAAUUUUGUGAGUUUGAUUGUUUAUUUCGAUUUAUUAAUUGCAUUUUUGGGUGAUUUUGGAAUUAUAUGAUUUCAGAAUUAGGUUUUGGGCUGAAUAAUGAUAUGUUUCUGUAUAAUUAAAAUUUCAAUUUGAUGAGUUAAUUAGCCUCCCUAAUGUUUACUUUGCUGAUUUUUUGCAUUUUAUAGUUCAACUUCUUCCCAAUUUUAAUUAGUUUUGGUUGUGUUAGCUUUAAUAGCAUAUUCAUAACUAAUUUCUUCUUUGGUUCCUCUUCUAUGGAUGAAAUUGGCUGUUGUAUUGUGAAUGAAAUAAUUAUGGCUAUAGUUUGAGAAUUAGUAGAACGAUUGGUAUCAUGUCUUCAGUUUGCUUCUACACUUGGAAUCAUGUUUCUUGAUGAUUCGAUGUGAUGUCUUAUAUGUGUUAUUAAGGCUUUAACAACUGCUGUGUGGCUAAUUAUGCAUUUACAUUGAAAUAACAAAAUUCAGGCUGCAUUGAGGAUGCUCUAUGGCCUACAAUGGACGCUGCAUUUCUGUUCUGUGCUACUGCUGUUUAGCAAUUGUGAUGCUGCUGUUCUGCUACUAGGCUGCUGCUGCUCCGCUAGUGAUUGUAAGAAGUUGUUGCUGCUCUUGUUAUAGUGAAUAUAUCCAAUGUUUUUUUUUCUAUUUUUUUUCAAGUGUAAAAUUAAAGGUUGUCAAUGAAAUUGUCAGUUUUAAGUA